RNAcentral lists this ribosomal RNA (253 nucleotides) under uncultured bacterium. RNAcentral's name for it is "partial 16S ribosomal RNA". It matches the Rfam family "Bacterial small subunit ribosomal RNA", at positions 524 to 776 of the family's 1533-position model. The record is from RNAcentral.
UACGAAGGGGGCUAGCGUUGCUCGGAAUCACUGGGCGUAAAGGGUGCGUAGGCGGGUCUUUAAGUCAGGGGUGAAAUCCUGGGGCUCAACCCCAGAACUGCCUUUGAUACUGGCGAUCUCGAGUCCGGAAGAGGUGAGUGGAACUCCUAGUGUAGAGGUGGAAUUCGUAGAUAUUAGGAAGAACACCAGUGGCGAAGGCGGCUCACUGGUCCGGUACUGACGCUGAGGUGCGAAAGCGUGGGGAGCAAACAGG